This 253-nucleotide ribosomal RNA is filed under the name uncultured bacterium. RNAcentral describes it as "partial 16S ribosomal RNA". It matches the Rfam family "Bacterial small subunit ribosomal RNA", at positions 524 to 776 of the family's 1533-position model. The record is from RNAcentral.
GACAGAGGUGGCGAGCGUUGUUCGGAAUUACUGGGCUUAAAGGGCGCGUAGGCGGUGGGACAAGUCUGAGGUGGAAUCCGGAGGCUUAACCUCCGAACUGCCUUGGAAACUGUACUGCUUGAGUUAGACAGGGGAAGGCGGAAUUCCUGGUGUAGCGGUGAAAUGCGUAGAUAUCAGGAGGAAGGCCUGUGGCGAAGGCGGCCUUCUGGGUCUUAACUGACGCUGAGGCGCGAAAGCGUGGGGAGCAAACAGG